RNAcentral lists this ribosomal RNA (1128 nucleotides) under Vreelandella aquamarina. Its description in RNAcentral is "bacterial SSU rRNA". It matches the Rfam family "Bacterial small subunit ribosomal RNA", at positions 34 to 1157 of the family's 1533-position model. The record is from RNAcentral. Lineage: Bacteria; Pseudomonadati; Pseudomonadota; Gammaproteobacteria; Oceanospirillales; Halomonadaceae.
CACCGUGGCGCAGCUACACAUGCAAGUCGAGCGGUAACAGAUCCAGCUUGCUGGAUGCUGACGAGCGGCGGACGGGUGAGUAAUGCAUAGGAAUCUGCCCGGUAGUGGGGGAUAACCUGGGGAAACCCAGGCUAAUACCGCAUACGUCCUACGGGAGAAAGGGGGCUUCGGCUCCCGCUAUCGGAUGAGCCUAUGUCGGAUUAGCUAGUUGGUGAGGUAACGGCUCACCAAGGCCACGAUCCGUAGCUGGUCUGAGAGGAUGAUCAGCCACAUCGGGACUGAGACACGGCCCGAACUCCUACGGGAGGCAGCAGUGGGGAAUAUUGGACAAUGGGGGGAACCCUGAUCCAGCCAUGCCGCGUGUGUGAAGAAGGCCCUCGGGUUGUAAAGCACUUUCAGCGAGGAAGAACGCCUAGCGGUUAAUACCCGCUAGGAAAGACAUCACUCGCAGAAGAAGCACCGGCUAACUCCGUGCCAGCAGCCGCGGUAAUACGGAGGGUGCAAGCGUUAAUCGGAAUUACUGGGCGUAAAGCGCGCGUAGGUGGCUUGAUAAGCCGGUUGUGAAAGCCCCGGGCUCAACCUGGGAACGGCAUCCGGAACUGUCAAGCUAGAGUGCAGGAGAGGAAGGUAGAAUUCCCGGUGUAGCGGUGAAAUGCGUAGAGAUCGGGAGGAAUACCAGUGGCGAAGGCGGCCUUCUGGACUGACACUGACACUGAGGUGCGAAAGCGUGGGUAGCAAACAGGAUUAGAUACCCUGGUAGUCCACGCCGUAAACGAUGUCGACCAGCCGUUGGGUGCCUAGCGCACUUUGUGGCGAAGUUAACGCGAUAAGUCGACCGCCUGGGGAGUACGGCCGCAAGGUUAAAACUCAAAUGAAUUGACGGGGGCCCCGCACAAGCGGGUGGAGCAUGUGGUUUAAUUCGAUGCAACGCGAAGGAACCUUACCUACUCUUGACAUCCUGCGAAAUUCGGUAGAGAUACCUUAGUGCCUUCGGGAACGCAGAGACAGGUGCUGCAUGGCUGUCGUCAGCUCGUGUUGUGAAUGUUGGGUUAAGUCCCGUAACGAGCGCAACCCUUGUCCUUAUUUGCCAGCGCGUAAUGGCCGGAACUCUAAGGAGGACUGCCGGUG